This 23-nucleotide small nuclear RNA is filed under the name Arabidopsis thaliana (thale cress). Its description in RNAcentral is "snRNA_03366". The record is from RNAcentral. Lineage: Eukaryota; Viridiplantae; Streptophyta; Magnoliopsida; Brassicales; Brassicaceae.
CCUAAGAUGAGCUCAACGAGAAC